Molecule: ribosomal RNA, 123 nt
Filed under: Pseudomonas aeruginosa
Lineage: Bacteria; Pseudomonadati; Pseudomonadota; Gammaproteobacteria; Pseudomonadales; Pseudomonadaceae
Also listed under: 1 other name
Description: partial 16S ribosomal RNA
Rfam family: Bacterial small subunit ribosomal RNA (bases 41-123)
Source: RNAcentral
UGAGCCAAGUUUAGGGUUUUCUCAAAACCCAAGCAGUAUUGAACUGAAGAGUUUGAUCAUGGCUCAGAUUGAACGCUGGCGGCAGGCCUAACACAUGCAAGUCGAGCGGAUGAAGGGAGCUUG